Molecule: ribosomal RNA, 274 nt
Filed under: uncultured bacterium
Lineage: Bacteria
Description: partial 16S ribosomal RNA
Rfam family: Bacterial small subunit ribosomal RNA
Source: RNAcentral
AUACGGAGGGUCCAAGCGUUAUCCGGAUUCAUUGGGUUUAAAGGGUCCGCAGGCGGGAAAAUAUGUCAGUGGUGAAAGCCUACAGCUCAACUGUAGAACUGCCAUUGAUACUGUUUUUCUUGAGUAUAGAUGAAGUGGGCGGAAUAUAUCAUGUAGCGGUGAAAUGCAUAGAUAUGAUAUAGAACACCGAUUGCGAAGGCAGCUCACUAAACUAUUACUGACGCUCAGGGACGAAAGCGUGGGGAGCGAACAGGAUUAGAAACCCUAGUAGUCC